RNAcentral lists this long non-coding RNA (397 nucleotides) under Carica papaya (papaya). RNAcentral describes it as "long non-coding RNA (CPAP_LNC002419)". Lineage: Eukaryota; Viridiplantae; Streptophyta; Magnoliopsida; Brassicales; Caricaceae. The record is from RNAcentral.
UAUAUUGUUGAGAUGAUAGCAAAGUCAGUCUCCAUGAUCCUUGCCACAGUGCUGACAAAUCUUGUCAUGUCGUCACUCUAUCAGGGCUUAGGAAGGAACCUAAGUUAUGGGUUUUAGUCUCUUAUUCUGUUUGUUCAGUGCUGUAGGUGUUGGCCUACAAUGUAGAACUAGGGGUCUGGAGUUACCCACUGCUGAGGAAAAAAUACAGAGGUUCCUCUCUAUUAACUAUGUCUUAGUCAAGACUGCUAAAUAAGUGUCAAGCUCGAAGACAUAUAGUUGUUAUCUGAUCUCAGGACGAAGAUCCCAUUCGAACCUUCUCGUCUUCCUACCUUCAUCUGUCAUGCUCUCAGGGAAGUACCGUCGUAACUCUAGGAAUUUUCGAGUAUAUUCUGAUACU